Molecule: small nucleolar RNA, 71 nt
Organism: Apodemus sylvaticus (European woodmouse)
Lineage: Eukaryota; Metazoa; Chordata; Mammalia; Rodentia; Muridae
Product: small nucleolar RNA SNORD82
Exons: 1
Source: RefSeq, a predicted model, not a curated record
AGCACAAGUGAUGAAUGACAAAAGGGACUUAAUUCUGAAACCUGGGGUUGAAAUUCUAUAUGCUGAUGUGC